UACGUAGGGGGCAAGCGUUGUCCGGAAUCAUUGGGCGUAAAGAGCGUGUAGGCGGUUCGGUAAGUCUGCUGUGAAAGUCCAGGGCUCAACCCUGGAAUGCCAGUGGAAACUGCCGAGCUAGAGUCCGGAAGAGGCGAGUGGAAUUCCUGGUGUAGCGGUGAAAUGCGCAGAUAUCAGGAGGAACACCAAUGGCGAAAGCAGCUCGCUGGGACGGUACUGACGCUGAGACGCGAAAGCGUGGGGAGCAAACAGG
RNAcentral lists this ribosomal RNA (253 nucleotides) under uncultured bacterium. Its description in RNAcentral is "partial 16S ribosomal RNA". It matches the Rfam family "Bacterial small subunit ribosomal RNA", at positions 524 to 776 of the family's 1533-position model. The record is from RNAcentral.